This 264-nucleotide ribosomal RNA is filed under the name Triticum aestivum (bread wheat). RNAcentral's name for it is "partial small subunit ribosomal RNA". Lineage: Eukaryota; Viridiplantae; Streptophyta; Magnoliopsida; Poales; Poaceae. The record is from RNAcentral.
AUGGCGAGGUCUGCUGGUCGGUGGGCCGUUGCGGCGGCGAUAGUGCUGCUGCUGCUGACCACGGCGUCAUCAGCAUCGGCAGCAGCAGGUGUCGAUUCAGCAACGACGGCACCGGCCAAGGUGUGGCAGCUCCCUCCAAGAUUCCCUACAGAGCCCUUCCCGGUGCCAAGGCCCCCUUCUUCGUCGUCGUGGAAGGCGGUGAAAUCGUCUCUUCCUCCUCGCCACCGCCUCCCCACGGAGCCGCCGUCGGAAAAGCGUACGUAA